Molecule: unclassified non-coding RNA, 106 nt
Filed under: soil metagenome
Description: partial internal transcribed spacer 1
Source: RNAcentral
GUGAACGCCCUCACGGGCUUAUACUAUUCCAAACCUCUGUGAACCGUGCCCUUCGGGGCUAUUUUACAAACAUGGUGUAAUGAACGUCAUAUAUCAUAACAAGACA